CCUACGGGGGGCAGCAGUGAGGAAUAUUGGUCAAUGGCCGGAAGGCUGAACCAGCCAAGCCGCGUGAGGGAGGAAGGCGCAGAGCGUCGCAGACCUCUUUUGCCGGGGGACAAAAGGCCGGACGGGUCCGGUUCUGAGGGUACCCGGAGAAAAAGCAUCGGCAAACUCCGUGCCAGCAGCCGCGGUAAUACGGAGGAUGCGAGCGUUAUCCGGAUUUAUUGGGUUUAAAGGGUGCGUAGGCGGGCCUUUAAGCCGACGGUGAAAUCGCGGGGCUCAACUCGGCGCAGACGUCGGAACUGGGUGGAUUGAGUGAAGGAGAGGCAGGCGGAAGUCGGAGGGGAGCGGUGAAAUGGGGAGAUA
This 360-nucleotide ribosomal RNA is filed under the name uncultured bacterium. Its description in RNAcentral is "partial 16S ribosomal RNA". It matches the Rfam family "Bacterial small subunit ribosomal RNA", at positions 338 to 696 of the family's 1533-position model. The record is from RNAcentral.